This 21-nucleotide microRNA is filed under the name Gyrodactylus salaris (gyrodactylosis fluke). RNAcentral describes it as "gsa-miR-71a-5p". Its record names the gene gsa-miR-71a-5p. Lineage: Eukaryota; Metazoa; Platyhelminthes; Monogenea; Gyrodactylidea; Gyrodactylidae. The record is from miRBase by way of RNAcentral.
UGAAAGACAUGGGUAAUGAGU